CAUAUUAAAUAUACAAUUAUAUUUUUUUUUUUCACAUUUUAAAAUAUGUUAUUUGAAAUUCAGUGCUGAUGAUGCACAAAAAUUGUUAGUGAGUUGAUUGUCUACAUGCGCACCUAUUAGGAUACUUGAAGAAUAAGACAACAAAGAACCAACAGAAAGUACUGGUGGGGUGUCAGCCAAAGACCCUUCAAAGGUUAAAUUAGCAAUAGAAAAAUCUCCCAGAAUUCCAAAGUAUGAGCUCUAGGAAAUUUUACGUAUCUUGGGGGAGAAGAGGUUUGAUGCUUAUAUAGUGGGGUGGAUUUAGCUGAGAUCCCUUGGAACGCGAGGUCUUUCCUUGUAGAGAAGAUCUUGGAGUUGAGGCUUUGGGAUUCUAGGGAUUUCCUUUUCAUAUCGAUAAGAUACGAACGUGAAUAGGGUCUUUGGAUGUGGUGUGCAAGUUAUUUCCAUGUAGGGAUUUAUGAGUGGAGAACACGUAGAGGUUUGUGGAGCCCAACAUAUUCAAUCAUUGGGUUCAUGCAAAUCCAUCAGUCAGUUUUGGCGUCAUCCCUCUAUCGCGCUAUACUUUAAACCUAUCCGUCGGUUUUUAUGCACCUACCACUCGUUAAGACUAAUUGCCAGGUAUCUGACGGAUCUCAUGGAGGUGUAGGAUGUCUAUCCUGAUGAAUAAUCAGGCGAGGUGUUUUUAUCUUGUUAGAUCGAAGAUUUUAAGAGAAACAUUUAUGCCGAAAAGUUCCUUAUCAAUUGCCAAACACAUUUUUUGCAUUAUGAAUAUUUUAAACGCAUGUUUUCACAAUACUUUUUAAACCAUAUUUAUUGCAUUAUGAUUGUUACUUCUCUGUUCCAGCUCAAGAAUCUGCUUGAUGUAAAGGGAUUUGUGUCCAUUUUUCUAAUCAAUGGGCUUAAUGGUGUUCAUGACAAUCUUGUGUUUAAUUAGCUAGCACAGACUCCAAGCUAUUGUUAGAUAUUUUGGCCUCCACCAACAUGGCUUUGGACAGAACCAUGUUCAUCUAGAUGCUGAUCAUUCACAAUUGAUGUAUACUACUUGUUAUAAGGAAAAGGGUUUUGAAGGAGAUAAAGAGGAGACUAUCAAAGCUUGAGCACAAGUUGAACUGUGUGGUUUGUACAAUCUAUUCAUGGGCUACCCUCUUAAGUCCAAUUCAGCUCUGAAUUAGGUGUAACAGUUAUGUUAUUAUGGAGGAAUGCAAGCACUAAAGCAGAUUAAUUGAUGUGUGUAAUGUGAUAACUAAAUUGUUUCACACAAAAUAUGGACUUACUCAGGAUUGUUGAUUUCAUUCAUAUUGUUUAGAAAAUGAUCCAUGUAUCUUGGAGAA
Molecule: long non-coding RNA, 1331 nt
Organism: Quercus robur (English oak)
Lineage: Eukaryota; Viridiplantae; Streptophyta; Magnoliopsida; Fagales; Fagaceae
Exons: 2
Source: RefSeq, a predicted model, not a curated record